GGAGUAGCUCAGUCAGGGCCUAAUGUCAGUGCUCACAGCUAGGCUAUCAAUCAUGUCUAUAAAGUUGUGAUUAGAGCCUGAAUAGGCCAGAUUACAACCUGAGGUGUCGUGACUAUUUCAGCAAGCCACAUGAUUGUUGUUGGAGACUCUCAGCAAACAGAAAAAAUGUUAUUCACGUCAGACAAAUAGAAAUAUUGUCUUGAAAUCCCAGUGUUUAAGGCUUCAAUGUUAGAUUGGCAUCACUCAAUGC
Hyla sarda is the source of this 250-nucleotide long non-coding RNA. RefSeq lists it as uncharacterized. Lineage: Eukaryota; Metazoa; Chordata; Amphibia; Anura; Hylidae. The record is from RefSeq and is a predicted model, not a curated record. The transcript is spliced from 3 exons.